GCACUGCGAACGCCGGCUGAGCUGAGUCUCGCUGCUCGGUGCGAGGCGGCGGAGAGCGAGGCCUGGUGAGCACCGCCGAGGCGCGGGCCAGCUCUUCGAGGUUGUGCGCGGGAGUGGCACGGCGGGCGGGCGAGCGAGGGGCUAACUUCAGCGGUGGCACCGGGAUCGGUUGCCUUGAGCCUGAAAUCAUGACCACCCCAGGAAAAGAGAACUUUCGCCUGAAAAGUUACAAGAACAAAUCUCUGAAUCCCGAUGAGAUGCGCAGGAGGAGGGAGGAAGAAGGACUGCAGUUACGAAAGCAGAAAAGAGAAGAGCAGUUAUUCAAGCGGAGAAAUGUUGCUACAGCAGAAGAAGAAACAGAAGAAGAAGUUAUGUCAGAUGGAGGCUUUCAUGAGGCUCAGAUUAGUAACAUGGAGAUGGCACCAGGUGGUGUCAUCACUUCUGACAUGAUUGAAAUGAUAUUUUCCAAAAGCCCAGAGCAACAGCUUUCAGCAACACAGAAAUUCAGGAAGCUGCUUUCAAAAGAACCUAACCCUCCUAUUGAUGAAGUUAUCAGCACACCAGGAGUAGUGGCCAGGUUUGUGGAGUUCCUCAAACGAAAAGAGAAUUGUACACUGCAGGUGAGCCUGGCAUUUGCUAGGAACCAGAGUGGAACCGGCAAAGUGGCCAGCAACAGAGUCCUGAUCCAAAUGGAGAAAGGGAACCAGGCGUACCUCAACCUGGAGUGGGAAACUUGAUAGGAGUUUGAAUCAGCUUGGGUACUGACAAAUAUUGCUUCAGGAAAUUCUCUUCAGACCCGAAUUGUGAUUCAGGCAGGAGCUGUGCCCAUCUUCAUAGAGUUGCUCAGCUCAGAGUUUGAAGAUGUCCAGGAACAGGCAGUCUGGGCUCUUGGCAACAUUGCUGGAGAUAGUACCAUGUGCAGGGACUAUGUCUUAGACUGCAAUAUCCUUCCCCCUCUUUUGCAGUUAUUUUCAAAGCAAAACCGCCUGACCAUGACCCGGAAUGCAGUAUGGGCUUUGUCUAAUCUCUGUAGAGGGAAAAGUCCACCUCCAGAAUUUGCAAAGGUUUCUCCAUGUCUGAAUGUGCUUUCCUGGUUGCUGUUUGUCAGUGACACUGAUGUACUGGCUGAUGCCUGCUGGGCCCUCUCAUAUCUAUCAGAUGGACCCAAUGAUAAAAUUCAAGCGGUCAUCGAUGCGGGAGUAUGUAGGAGACUUGUGGAACUGCUGAUGCAUAAUGAUUAUAAAGUGGUUUCUCCUGCUUUGCGAGCUGUGGGAAACAUUGUCACAGGGGAUGAUAUUCAGACACAGGUAAUUCUGAAUUGCUCAGCUCUGCAGAGUUUAUUGCAUUUGCUGAGUAGCCCAAAGGAAUCUAUCAAAAAGGAAGCAUGUUGGACGAUAUCUAAUAUUACAGCUGGAAAUAGGGCACAGAUCCAGACUGUGAUAGAUGCCAACAUUUUCCCAGCCCUCAUUAGUAUUUUACAAACUGCUGAAUUUCGGACAAGAAAAGAAGCAGCUUGGGCCAUCACAAAUGCAACUUCUGGAGGAUCAGCUGAACAGAUCAAGUACCUAGUAGAACUGGGUUGUAUCAAGCCGCUCUGUGAUCUCCUCACGGUCAUGGACUCUAAGAUUGUACAGGUUGCCCUAAAUGGCUUGGAAAAUAUCCUGAGGCUUGGAGAACAGGAAGCCAAAAGGAAUGGCACUGGCAUUAACCCUUACUGUGCUUUGAUUGAAGAAGCUUAUGGUCUGGAUAAAAUUGAGUUCUUACAGAGUCAUGAAAACCAGGAGAUCUACCAAAAGGCCUUUGAUCUUAUUGAGCAUUACUUCGGGACCGAAGAUGAAGACAGCAGCAUUGCACCCCAGGUUGACCUUAACCAGCAGCAGUACAUCUUCCAACAGUGUGAGGCUCCUAUGGAAGGUUUCCAGCUUUGAAGCAAUACUCUGCUUUCACGUACCUGUGUCAGACCAGGCUACCCAGUCGAGUCCUCUUGUGGAGCCCACAGUCCUCAUGGAGCUAACUUCUCAAAUGUUUUCCAUAAUACUGUUUGCGCUCAUUUGCUUGCCUUGCGCACCUGCUCUCUUACACACAUCUGGAAAACCUCCGGCUCUCUGUGGUGGAAUACCCUUCUAAUAAAAGGGUAACCAGAACGGCCCACUCUCUUUUACGGAAAAAUCCCUAGGCUUUGGAGAUCCGCACUUACAUUAGAGUUAUGGGAAUAUACACAUAUUAAUGUGGCUCCCUUUUUCUUGUGGGGGAAUAAAAGAGGACUCCUCCUCAUUCCCUUUAACAUGGGGGAAAAAACUGACAUUAAAAGAUGAGACUAAAUCUUUAUCUUGAAUUUUACACAACUACUUACGACAAGGGAGAUGUUUAGACCUGUUGUGUAUACUUCAGAGUACUUUUCAUGAGUUCUUCCACAGUGAACCCUUGGAUUACCUGGUGGCUUUUUCUAGCCAGAUUUGCAUUAAUCCUUACUGAGAUUGGAUGGUUUUCUUUCCUCUAUUGGCGCCAUUCUUCAGAUAUUAAAGUUAAACCAUCCACUCCCUCACCUUCAGCCUUCAGUGAAUGUGCUUUCUAGUUGUCAGGAAUGCUGAAGAAUUAACACUUUGACUCCUAAAUGUGAUACUGGUUUGUAGAUUCCCUUAGAGCAGAAAGGAGAGGGGCACAUAUUAAUUUGUAUCGCUUUUGCUUCUCUUUGGUCUUUUGUGUCUUAGAAUUUGGAAGUGGUUCAUUUCUGUUGCUGGUAUGAGGAUUUCGAAUACUUAGUAAUCGAAAACCAUAUCCUGUAAUUUAAUAAAAAAAACUAAGGACGAAAAAACCCUCCAAUUUUCCCAAAUGCAAUCAGUGUAACUAGGGGCUGUGUUUCUGCAUUAAAAUAAAUGUUUCAGGCUUUGUGGUCCUGAUCAAGGUCCUCAUUAAAAAAUUGGAGUUCACCCUAGGUGCUUUUCCCCUCUGUGACUGGCAGAUAACACAUACUUUUGAAAGUAACUUUGGGAUUUUUUUCUUAGGUGCAGCUCGAUUCUAAUCUUUUCAUGCUGCACACGAUUCCUUUAAUGUAGCAUCCUUAUCUGAAAGAAAUAACCAUCUUCUCAACAUGACCUGCUUAACCCAAAUAAGAACAGUGAUCUUAUAACCUCAUUGUUUCCUAAUCAUUUUAUUUCAUCUCCUGCUAGUACUGUGCCGCUUCCCCCUCCCCCCACACAAAAUAAAAACAGUAUCUGCCUUCUGGCUCAUUUAAUGAUGACUGCAAUCUGUACCUGCAAAUGGCGCUUCCAGUACUGUGUUCAGUGAUCCACAUUUGUGCUUGGACUGGAAUGAAAAAAUACGCUUAAUUGCCAAGACAACUGCAAAUGAGUUCAAUACGACUUCUCGGUGCUAGUUGGCCAUCUUGACUCAAUGUUGGGAUACACUACCAGAGAAGAUUUUUUUGUUGAUGUGCUGUUCAAAGUGAAUUCUGAAGGAAAAGGUUGCUCACCUCUGUUUCAGAGCAUACCCUUUUAAACCUUUUUAGACUUGUCCUCUUCUAGAAUUCAUUAUAACCCCAAAGUGUAAAAACUAUUUGGAAGUUGCCCCUGACAAGCUAUUAUACAUCUCUGGUAAAUCCUGCUGAAUGUAAGGGAUAUUCAGAGCUUUUCAUACCUCAUCAUGAUGUUAUUUAAGCAGCCAACUUAUGUGACCUGAUUUAAACUUUUAAAAAAUCCACUUCAUUCAAACUAGAAAGAGUCAAAGACAAAGGACAUUUAUCAGCCAAGAGUGUGACGCAUUCUUCGCAUCUAGUCUGUAGUAGUGUCUGUGCUCUGGGAUGGAUACCGUCUGAUGUCUGUUUGUUAUUGAUGGCGCAGCCACUGCAAAACUAGUCAACUCCCAUCUAUAACUGUUACUUUUUCUAGUGCUGCUUUGUGCUGAGAGAACAUUUUAGUUUACUGCACUUGACCUGUAAAAGACUGAUUCUUUGUAAUUUUAGGGAUAAAUUAGGUGGUUAAUUUAAAGAAGAAAUUUCAAUGUUGCCUUUACAUCACAUUAAAAUAUAACUUCUUUCAGAAGGAUAAUAGAAGCACUGAUUCAUAGUAAAAAUCUUGUUUUUAGCUUUGACUUUUUUGUGGCUGUUUUUUAAAAUUGUAAAUUACUAGUAACAUGUCAUUUCUAUAGGAUGUUUUAAAUUAUGUACCUUCCAUUGGAUAGUUAAAAUAAUUUCAUUUUAUAAGCCAAUUUGAGUGGGAAAGAUACAAAGCACACAGUUGUCUCCCCACAUUAGGAAGAGUAGUGUGCAUUCAGACAUUCGGAAUUUUUGCUAGUAGUUGGAGAUGUUUCAGUGAGUGAAUUAAAACAAAGUCUAUUUAACUGACGUGAUCUAUUUUGUGUCUAAAACAGAGGAAUUUAUCUUGUCCUAGAAGUUCAUGAACUAUAAGAUCUAAGUUUUUUUUUCUUUUUUAACAAUAAAAUGAUUUUUUCUUAAAGUAUCAAAGUUGGAAUUGGCUAAAAGUGAAGUAGCAUAACUCAGAUAUGUUGGAACUUGGUACUGAAGCAGGCUUUUUGGUAACAGAAAUGACAUUUUAAGGGGUAACUGUAUAUCCUGUUUUUAGUUCUUUGCCUCUCAGAUUCUGUUAACUUAGUUUAAAUUCACUGAAUACCCUACCACUAAGGCGUUGCUCAUUACAAAAGCAUGUUAAUUUCAAUACAGGAAAACUCUUUUGUAGUUUUAUAUAUGGAUUGGGGAAAGUGACUUUGUUUUACUUUUCCUUUUUAUUCCCCUCCAUCCUCCAAACUUCCAAUCUAUAUUAUUUGUAAUGAGAACUUUGGUGGGGGAAAAAAAGCAUUAAGAGAAUUUUGGAUGUAAAGGCAUCUGGUAUCUGAUGGACCAGCAGGUAGAUGUGGUUGGAUUGAGAAAUUUUGGGUAAGGUAGAUGAUAGAAGAAAGAGAUUUUAGGAGACACAGUUCUCUGUGGAACACUUUCUUUCAUGUUCCUGUAACUAAUUGAUCAAGACCCUUUUAAACGCUUAUCUUUGUCAGUUCCGCUUUUGAAAAAACUAUUGCCCUAGGAUUGUUUCUUCCAUAUGACAGAUGAAGGUUAUUGGCUCUGAGUCAUUUUUGGCAUUAUCGUCACAGAUAAAAAGAUUGGCAAUUAAUCUCAUAAAAAAUCUGAAUUAUUCCAGAUUGCUGCCGAUUUUUGCCUAAGAAACAAUAUGUAAGUAUAUUUUAUAAACCAAACUUUGUCAACCAAUUCUAUUGUACGUCUACCCACAGGCAACUUUGAAUUUACUUCUCUAGUGCUAAAUAAACAUUUCAGCGAUUUAAUCCCCCAACUUGGGGGAUGCAUUAUGAAAAGGUUUUCCUGGAGUCAAGGGGUUUUUCUUUCUCGCUAGUUUUGUGAAAAUUUUUAUAUCAAUAGGCAAAUCAUUAUAACUUUUUAGGGGUUGAUGGUUUUUAAGUAUAUUGGAAAUUGUGGUGUCUAAGGAUGAUGUUCAGUGAAGAAAAGGGAUCCACUUUUAGAAACCAGCAUUGUUUGCUUUCAACUUUCAUACUGUAUGCUAACUCCUACGUUCCAAAAUGUGCUCAUUUGCAGACACAGGUAUGCCUAUAUACAUGGAAGUCUCAAAUCUGAAUUUUUAUCCAUCUCAAUAUGACCAUUUCUCUCUGUUGUGAGCUGAACAGAUUAAGUAUAUAUCUGCCAGGUUGGGAAAUAUUUUGGUCUAUCUUUUCCUGUCAUCAGAACUUAAUUUAAAAAAAUUAUCAAAGGUCAGAUGUGACUACUACAGUAAGUUGGCUAUCAUAAAGAAUAUUCCAUAAAAUGUUUUAUCUGCCAUACAAAAUUACUGGGUUUAUGGCCGGAUGUGGUGGCUCAUGCCUGUAAUCCCAGCAGUUCAGGAUUACAGGUUAUAUACAGGUUAUAACAAUGGAUACCAGGACAUCAGAAUAUCUGAUAAAGCAAAUAUUUAUAUGCUAAUUUAAAAUAUCAAAUUGCUACUGGACAUAAAAUACAUCUGGAAGCUUGGGGUAAGAAGAAAGAAAAGAAGUGUUCCGUUCUGUUUUCAACUAAGGGUAAACGAAGUCCCAGAGUGUUUUCCCUGUAGGUCAAAUUAAGGUAACAUGUCUUUAUUUGAUCAUCUAUUGUACACCAGAUACCUGGCUAAGGGCUUUCCUUUUUUCUCAUGUAGUCUUCCAAAUGUUCUUUGAUAAUUGUCACUAUAUUAUAGAUGACAAAGUGAAGACUUACGAGAAAUUACUUUGCCCCAAGGUUACAACACUUAGAUGGCUGUCCAAGGGCGGGGAAGAGCCCUGCAAAUUCUGUGUCUUGAAGAAAGCAGUGGCCACGCAGUAGUUCCGUGCCCAGGAUCUCCCAGAACUAGACUUGGCAACCACAGCUGGGCCAGCCUUUUUUGUUAGACCAUUCUUCCUGACUCCUGCUUACCAUCAGCACCCUUAAAAUGACGAAAUCAGGCUUAAGUUGCUUUUAGGUUACACAGACUGGAGUGUAGGCCCUCUCAGGCCAAACAUCUUUCCUCUUCUGUGGUGCUAAAAUUCUGUAUGACCAGACAAGUAUGGUAAUAGGUUUUUUUUUUUUUUUUUUUUGUGCAAAUGAUUUUGUGUUUAGUAAAAUAAUGGCUAAACACAUGGAUCCAUUCAAACGCACAAAUGUGGAAAGUAUUGACACGGAAGGAAAGGCUUUGAAGAAUUACUGCCUCAGGAAGCAGUGCCAUGGAUGCGAAUUUAACACAGUCUACUUCUUCCUAAAGGAAUAUCAUCCCAAGGAAUGUCAAAAAUUAAAAUCACCUUUUAAUGUACUGGUUGUUGAGUGUUUCUGCUUUACCUCAAGUCAUUCUGACCACUCUACAUCCUGCUUCAAAGUGUUCUGACACUUAGAUUUGGAAUGGCUCUAAUGAUUCUUUGUACUUGAAUGUGGUCUGUCAGGCCAUGGGUGAGUGCCUUGCACAUAGUAGACAUUCAAUAAAUACUAAAUGAAGGAAUAUGCAUGCAUCUUUGUGAUGUUAGUAAAGGGUGCUUGAUAAAAGAAAA
Homo sapiens (human) is the source of this 7011-nucleotide RNA transcript. It is a transcript of the gene named karyopherin subunit alpha 1, with no coding region annotated. NCBI's taxonomy places the organism in Eukaryota, Metazoa, Chordata, Mammalia, Primates, Hominidae. The record is from RefSeq and is marked reviewed. The transcript has 15 exons.